This 1355-nucleotide ribosomal RNA is filed under the name uncultured bacterium. RNAcentral's name for it is "bacterial SSU rRNA". It matches the Rfam family "Bacterial small subunit ribosomal RNA", at positions 28 to 1381 of the family's 1533-position model. The record is from RNAcentral.
AUUGAACGCUGGCGGCAGGCUUAACACAUGCAAGUCGAACGAUGAAACUCUAGCUUGCUAGAGAAGAUUAGUGGCGGACGGGUGAGUAACAUUUAGGAAUCUGCCUAGUAGUGGGGGAUAGCUCGGGGAAACUCGAAUUAAUACCGCAUACGACCUACGGGUGAAAGGGGGCGCAAGCUCUUGCUAUUAGAUGAGCCUAAAUCAGAUUAGCUAGUUGGUGGGGUAAAGGCCCACCAAGGCGACGAUCUGUAACUGGUCUGAGAGGAUGAUCAGUCACACCGGAACUGAGACACGGUCCGGACUCCUACGGGAGGCAGCAGUGGGGAAUAUUGGACAAUGGGGGCAACCCUGAUCCAGCCAUGCCGCGUGUGUGAAGAAGGCCUUUUGGUUGUAAAGCACUUUAAGCAGGGAGGAGAGGCUAAUGGUUAAUACCCAUUAGAUUAGACGUUACCUGCAGAAUAAGCACCGGCUAACUCUGUGCCAGCAGCCGCGGUAAUACAGAGGGUGCGAGCGUUAAUCGGAAUUACUGGGCGUAAAGCGAGUGUGGGUGGCUCAUUAAGUCACAUGUGAAAUCCCCGGGCUUAACCUGGGAACUGCAUGUGAUACUGGUGGUGCUAGAAUAUGUGAGAGGGAAGUAGAAUUCCAGGUGUAGCGGUGAAAUGCGUAGAGAUCUGGAGGAAUACCGAUGGCGAAGGCAGCUUCCUGGCAUAAUAUUGACACUGAGAUUCGAAAGCGUGGGUAGCAAACAGGAUUAGGUACCCUGGUAGUCCACGCCGUAAACGAUGUCUACUAGCCGUUGGGGUCCUUGAGACUUUAGUGGCGCAGUUAACGCGAUAAGUAGACCGCCUGGGGAGUACGGCCGCAAGGUUAAAACUCAAAUGAAUUGACGGGGGCCCGCACAAGCGGUGGAGCAUGUGGUUUAAUUCGAUGCAACGCGAAGAACCUUACCUGGUCUUGACAUAGUGAGAAUCCUGCAGAGAUGCGGGAGUGCCUUCGGGAAUUCACAUACAGGUGCUGCAUGGCUGUCGUCAGCUCGUGUCGUGAGAUGUUGGGUUAAGUCCCGCAACGAGCGCAACCCUUUUCCUUAUUUGCCAGCGGGUUAAGCCGGGAACUUUAAGGAUACUGCCAGUGACAAACUGGAGGAAGGCGGGGACGACGUCAAGUCAUCAUGGCCCUUACGACCAGGGCUACACACGUGCUACAAUGGUAGGUACAGAGGGUUGCUACACAGCGAUGUGAUGCUAAUCUCAAAAAGCCUAUCGUAGCCCGGAUUGGAGUCUGCAACUCGACUCCAUGAAGUCGGAAUCGCUAGUAAUCGCAGAUCAGAAUGCUGCGGUGAAUACGUUCCCGGGCCU